RNAcentral lists this ribosomal RNA (2904 nucleotides) under Escherichia coli. Its description in RNAcentral is "23S ribosomal RNA". It matches the Rfam family "Bacterial large subunit ribosomal RNA". The record is from RNAcentral. Lineage: Bacteria; Pseudomonadati; Pseudomonadota; Gammaproteobacteria; Enterobacterales; Enterobacteriaceae.
GGUUAAGCGACUAAGCGUACACGGUGGAUGCCCUGGCAGUCAGAGGCGAUGAAGGACGUGCUAAUCUGCGAUAAGCGUCGGUAAGGUGAUAUGAACCGUUAUAACCGGCGAUUUCCGAAUGGGGAAACCCAGUGUGUUUCGACACACUAUCAUUAACUGAAUCCAUAGGUUAAUGAGGCGAACCGGGGGAACUGAAACAUCUAAGUACCCCGAGGAAAAGAAAUCAACCGAGAUUCCCCCAGUAGCGGCGAGCGAACGGGGAGGAGCCCAGAGCCUGAAUCAGUGUGUGUGUUAGUGGAAGCGUCUGGAAAGGCGCGCGAUACAGGGUGACAGCCCCGUACACAAAAAUGCACAUGCUGUGAGCUCGAUGAGUAGGGCGGGACACGUGGUAUCCUGUCUGAAUAUGGGGGGACCAUCCUCCAAGGCUAAAUACUCCUGACUGACCGAUAGUGAACCAGUACCGUGAGGGAAAGGCGAAAAGAACCCCGGCGAGGGGAGUGAAAAAGAACCUGAAACCGUGUACGUACAAGCAGUGGGAGCACGCUUCGGCGUGUGACUGCGUACCUUUUGUAUAAUGGGUCAGCGACUUAUAUUCUGUAGCAAGGUUAACCGAAUAGGGGAGCCGAAGGGAAACCGAGUCUUAACUGGGCGUUAAGUUGCAGGGUAUAGACCCGAAACCCGGUGAUCUAGCCAUGGGCAGGUUGAAGGUUGGGUAACACUAACUGGAGGACCGAACCGACUAAUGUUGAAAAAUUAGCGGAUGACUUGUGGCUGGGGGUGAAAGGCCAAUCAAACCGGGAGAUAGCUGGUUCUCCCCGAAAGCUAUUUAGGUAGCGCCUCGUGAACUCAUCUCCGGGGGUAGAGCACUGUUUCGGCAAGGGGGUCAUCCCGACUUACCAACCCGAUGCAAACUGCGAAUACCGGAGAAUGUUAUCACGGGAGACACACGGCGGGUGCUAACGUCCGUCGUGAAGAGGGAAACAACCCAGACCGCCAGCUAAGGUCCCAAAGUCAUGGUUAAGUGGGAAACGAUGUGGGAAGGCCCAGACAGCCAGGAUGUUGGCUUAGAAGCAGCCAUCAUUUAAAGAAAGCGUAAUAGCUCACUGGUCGAGUCGGCCUGCGCGGAAGAUGUAACGGGGCUAAACCAUGCACCGAAGCUGCGGCAGCGACGCUUAUGCGUUGUUGGGUAGGGGAGCGUUCUGUAAGCCUGUGAAGGUGUACUGUGAGGUAUGCUGGAGGUAUCAGAAGUGCGAAUGCUGACAUAAGUAACGAUAAAGCGGGUGAAAAGCCCGCUCGCCGGAAGACCAAGGGUUCCUGUCCAACGUUAAUCGGGGCAGGGUGAGUCGACCCCUAAGGCGAGGCCGAAAGGCGUAGUCGAUGGGAAACAGGUUAAUAUUCCUGUACUUGGUGUUACUGCGAAGGGGGGACGGAGAAGGCUAUGUUGGCCGGGCGACGGUUGUCCCGGUUUAAGCGUGUAGGCUGGUUUUCCAGGCAAAUCCGGAAAAUCAAGGCUGAGGCGUGAUGACGAGGCACUACGGUGCUGAAGCAACAAAUGCCCUGCUUCCAGGAAAAGCCUCUAAGCAUCAGGUAACAUCAAAUCGUACCCCAAACCGACACAGGUGGUCAGGUAGAGAAUACCAAGGCGCUUGAGAGAACUCGGGUGAAGGAACUAGGCAAAAUGGUGCCGUAACUUCGGGAGAAGGCACGCUGAUAUGUAGGUGAAGCGACUUGCUCGUGGAGCUGAAAUCAGUCGAAGAUACCAGCUGGCUGCAACUGUUUAUUAAAAACACAGCACUGUGCAAACACGAAAGUGGACGUAUACGGUGUGACGCCUGCCCGGUGCCGGAAGGUUAAUUGAUGGGGUUAGCGCAAGCGAAGCUCUUGAUCGAAGCCCCGGUAAACGGCGGCCGUAACUAUAACGGUCCUAAGGUAGCGAAAUUCCUUGUCGGGUAAGUUCCGACCUGCACGAAUGGCGUAAUGAUGGCCAGGCUGUCUCCACCCGAGACUCAGUGAAAUUGAACUCGCUGUGAAGAUGCAGUGUACCCGCGGCAAGACGGAAAGACCCCGUGAACCUUUACUAUAGCUUGACACUGAACAUUGAGCCUUGAUGUGUAGGAUAGGUGGGAGGCUUUGAAGUGUGGACGCCAGUCUGCAUGGAGCCGACCUUGAAAUACCACCCUUUAAUGUUUGAUGUUCUAACGUUGACCCGUAAUCCGGGUUGCGGACAGUGUCUGGUGGGUAGUUUGACUGGGGCGGUCUCCUCCUAAAGAGUAACGGAGGAGCACGAAGGUUGGCUAAUCCUGGUCGGACAUCAGGAGGUUAGUGCAAUGGCAUAAGCCAGCUUGACUGCGAGCGUGACGGCGCGAGCAGGUGCGAAAGCAGGUCAUAGUGAUCCGGUGGUUCUGAAUGGAAGGGCCAUCGCUCAACGGAUAAAAGGUACUCCGGGGAUAACAGGCUGAUACCGCCCAAGAGUUCAUAUCGACGGCGGUGUUUGGCACCUCGAUGUCGGCUCAUCACAUCCUGGGGCUGAAGUAGGUCCCAAGGGUAUGGCUGUUCGCCAUUUAAAGUGGUACGCGAGCUGGGUUUAGAACGUCGUGAGACAGUUCGGUCCCUAUCUGCCGUGGGCGCUGGAGAACUGAGGGGGGCUGCUCCUAGUACGAGAGGACCGGAGUGGACGCAUCACUGGUGUUCGGGUUGUCAUGCCAAUGGCACUGCCCGGUAGCUAAAUGCGGAAGAGAUAAGUGCUGAAAGCAUCUAAGCACGAAACUUGCCCCGAGAUGAGUUCUCCCUGACUCCUUGAGAGUCCUGAAGGAACGUUGAAGACGACGACGUUGAUAGGCCGGGUGUGUAAGCGCAGCGAUGCGUUGAGCUAACCGGUACUAAUGAACCGUGAGGCUUAACCUU